Long non-coding RNA from Tachyglossus aculeatus (Australian echidna), 162 nucleotides. RefSeq lists it as uncharacterized. The record is from RefSeq and is a predicted model, not a curated record. The transcript is spliced from 3 exons. NCBI's taxonomy places the organism in Eukaryota, Metazoa, Chordata, Mammalia, Monotremata, Tachyglossidae.
GGACACUUGGCUCCUGCAAUCCAUCAAUGGUCUGUCCAGUGGGGGAAGGUUGGGGGUGUUUCCAGACAAUAUAAUACAGGUCCAGCAUCACUUUACUGAAGAGUCCCAGCUGACAAUACAAAUGAGAGAAAGAGCUGAGUAUAUGUACCUAAUUUCUGUGGG